GUAGAUAUAGUUUUAAUCAAGACAUUAGAUCGUGGCUCUAAAGACAGGGGUUGAAACCCCCUUAUUUACC
RNAcentral lists this transfer RNA (70 nucleotides) under Scomberomorus munroi (Australian spotted mackerel). RNAcentral describes it as "tRNA-His". It matches the Rfam family "tRNA". Rfam says of the family: Transfer RNA (tRNA) molecules are approximately 80 nucleotides in length. Their secondary structure includes four short double-helical elements and three loops (D, anti-codon, and T loops). Lineage: Eukaryota; Metazoa; Chordata; Actinopteri; Scombriformes; Scombridae. RNAcentral also lists the same sequence under 1 other name. The record is from RNAcentral.